This 366-nucleotide unclassified non-coding RNA is filed under the name Hevea brasiliensis (rubber tree). Lineage: Eukaryota; Viridiplantae; Streptophyta; Magnoliopsida; Malpighiales; Euphorbiaceae. The record is from RNAcentral.
UUCAGUUUCAUCCAAUGUCAGUAAUUUUUCAAAUACUGCUUCUCCUGAGUGUCCAGAAGCUGAUGUGGAAGCUAAAACUAUUGAUGAGAAGAAUAGUUCGUGCCAGACUAUCACUCGGGAAAAUGAAGAGUUGACUUUUGGUGGGUCUAGCAUUGGUAGCGGCUAUUCAAGGAAGGAAUCUAGAAGUGUAGAGAGUGACAAAGGGUCCACUGUAGAGAUAUUUGAACCAGACAAAGUUCCUUUUACUGCAAUUGAUCAAAGAUGUGCGUCUAAUUCCAGUGUGAUCACUACCUUAACAAGUGAAAGCAGUUCUUGCGAGAAUGUUGGGUCUGCAUUAGCAGCAGGUAAUAGUGAAGGCAAUGCUGG